RNAcentral lists this long non-coding RNA (2937 nucleotides) under Astyanax mexicanus (Mexican tetra). Its description in RNAcentral is "lncRNA (ENSAMXG00005010891.1)". Lineage: Eukaryota; Metazoa; Chordata; Actinopteri; Characiformes; Acestrorhamphidae. The record is from RNAcentral.
GUGCAUUAGGUACAAGCAUUUUUUGGAGGCUUAUUUUCUGAUAUUUUCUUUCCAGAAACAAAGAGGAGCAGAGGAUGAAAGAGGUCAACCUCUGCAUGAAGAACAUCCACACUGUGAAGGUGAGAGCUGGACUUUAAUAAUGAGCAGUAUUUUAUUCAUGGGGAUUUAUUUAACAUUGAGCUUCAAAAAAUAAUGAUUAAUAAUGAUUAAUGUUGGUCUUUUUUAUAUUUGUCAGGAAAACACUGAAGCCCUGAAGACAGAACUCUCUGAAUUAAAGGCCCAGCUGUCUGAGAAAAGGGAGGUGACAAAGGCAGCUCGAAUUAAGAACCACAAAACAGGUAAAACCAGGACUGAUCCUGCUGAUGUCCCAGAGAAUGAUACUCCCAAGGAGAAGGUAUCUUCUAAGGAGGAGGCCAUCAUUAAGGAGGACGCCACCACAAAAGAGAAGCCUGCCCCCAGGAGAAGAGCAGCUUCAAAAGAGAAGCUUACCUCAAAAGAGGAGGCUGCCCUCAAAGAUGUGGCCUCCAUGGAGGAGAAGGCUGCCCCCAAGAAAAGAGCUGCUCCAAAAAAGAAGCCUGUUUCUGAAGAGGAGACUGCUCUCAAAGAGGCUACUUCGAAAGAGACGGUUAUCCCCAAGAAGAGAGCACCUCCUAGAGCGAAGGCUGCCCCCAAAGAAGAGGCCAUCACAACACAGGAGGCCAGCUUAAAGGAAAAGGCUGCUCUCAAAGAGGAGGCCAUUGUGACGGUGGAGGCCACCUCGAAGGAGACGGUUGUCCCCAAGAAGAGAGCUGCCCCAAAAAAGAAGGCUGCCCCUGAAGAUGAGGCCUCCACAAGGGAGGAGACUGCUGCCAAAGAGGAGGACAUUGUAACAGAGGAGGCCACCUUGAAGGAGACGGUUAUCCCCAAGAAGAGAGCAGCUCCUAGAGCGAAGGCUGCUCCCAAGGAGGAGGCCACCAUGAAGAAGGAGGCCAUCCUCAACGAGAAGGAGGCCACAGCAAUUGAGAACACUACCGUAAAGGAGAAGGUUGCCCCAAAGAAAAGAGCUGCCCUCAAAUUGAGACCUGGGAUGAACGAUAAGACUGGCACAGAAGAGGAGACUACCACAAAGGACAAGGUUCUCCCCAAGAAGAGAGCACCUCCCAAAGAGAAGGAUGCUCCCAAAGAGGAGGCCACCUCGAAGGAGAAGGUUCUCCCCAAGAUAAGAGCAGCUCCCAAAGAGAAGGCCAUCGUGACUGAGGAGGCCGCUCCCAAGAAGAGGGCUGCCACCAAAGAGGAGGCCACCACAAAGAAGAAGGUUAUCCCCAAGAAGACAGCACCUCCUAAAGAGAAGGCUGCUUCCAAAGAGGAGGCCUCUACAAAGGAGGAGGUUAUCCCCAAGAAGAGAGCACCUCCUAAAGAGAAAGAUGCUCCUACAGAGGAGGAUGUCUCCAAAGAGGAGGCCACCACAAAGGAGAAGGUUCUCCCCAAGAAGAGAGCACCUCCUAAAGAGGAGGAUGCUCACCAAGAGGAGGCCAUCACGACAGAGCAAUCCACCACAAAGGAGAAAGCUGCUCCCAAGAAGAAAGCACCUCUCAAAGAGAACGCUGCGCCCAAAGAGGAAGCAGUCACGACAGAGGAGGCCGCCUCGAAGAAGAAGGUUAUCCCCAAGAAGAGAGCACCUCCCAAAGAGAAGCCUUCGUCAAAAGGGAAGACUGCCCCUGAAGAGGAGGCCAUUGUGAUGGAGAAGGCUGCUCCCAAGAAGAGAGCAGCUCCUAGAGGGAAGGCUGCUCCCAAGGAGGAGGCCACCGUGAAGGAGGAGGCCGUCCUCAAUGAGAAAGCACUCUCCAGAAAGAAGACAACCACAAAGGGAAGACCUUCAAAGGAUACAAACCUAGACAAGGUUCUACAAGAGGAACAAGCAGAAACGAGUCCUCAGCCACCAGAGAUGCAGGUAGCUUUAGGUUUUUUGAACUGCAGAAUCACACUUAAUGCAUUUUCCUGUUGUGUCAAAUGAUUUGUAGUAUUGAGAGACUGUUUGUUAAAAGAUUAGGUGUUUCUCAAAAGUUUUGUUUACACCGAAAACCCUUUUUUUUCUUUCAGAAAUCAUCAAAAACCCGCAAGACAGGCAGACCCCCAAAAGUGCCGAAAUCUCAAAGCCCCUCAGAGAGUGAUUCUCAAUCAGUCUGCCGCUCGAAAAGAGCUGCCACCAAAUCUACCAGAGAGUGAGAUGACCAAUAAGAAAACAGAAUGCAGUUUCAGACAGGGAUAGUCAUAAAAAGGUACUGAACUUUGCACUUAGACCCUGUUCAGACCUGGAAUUAACAUUUUUCCUGGAUAAUCUGGUCAUAAUUGUCCAAUCUUGUGGACAAACUGCAAUCUGAUUCGUCAAAUCACCUCCAGAGGUGGACGCAUAUUAUGUCUUCAAGCAGCAAAGCCCCGCCCACAAUAGCGGCGUCACUGGCCCCUGCUGGAACAGGCGUAAUAAUCACGAGACCACACCAUCCACCGUCCAAGCGGGUUAGCUGAGCAUAGUACAACAACAAUCUAAUGGAUAAAUUAGGGUAAUACUUGUGACUUGUAGCUCCCUUACCACACACAGUUUAGGCUCAGGAAAUGUGAACUGAAACAUCUUUAUUUAUUUAUAUUGAUUUAAUAAGAAUUAAAAUAAUGUAUUUGUGCCCUGAUAUAAAGCUGCUUAGUUUAGGGGAGUAACUGUACUGGGCUCUGUUUAAGAUGCUGGAGCUCAGUGUUUUCAUUGUUCCUUUACUGACCUCUUGUGGCACAUUUAUUCUUGUUUUAUUGUAUUUUUUGUACAGUUUGUAAAAUAAGGCUCUAGCCACACAAAUGCACAUCUCCUCUUACUCUUACUCUCUUUUAUUUACUGUUUUUUAUCUUUUGUUUUUUUUUUCAAAAACACCUAUGAUCAAAUAAAAAAGAUUUCAGUAAAUUACUUGUUCA